This 527-nucleotide ribosomal RNA is filed under the name uncultured bacterium. RNAcentral describes it as "bacterial SSU rRNA". It matches the Rfam family "Bacterial small subunit ribosomal RNA", at positions 18 to 518 of the family's 1533-position model. The record is from RNAcentral.
CUUGGUUCAGGACGAACGCUGGCGGCGUGCCUAAUACAUGCAAGUCGAACGGCUUUUCUAUGGAAGCUUGCUUCCACUGAGAAGAUAGUGGCGGACGGGUGAGUAACACGUGGGUAACCUGCCCAUAAGAGGGGGAUAACAUCCGGAAACGGGUGCUAAUACCGCAUAGUUUUCUUGAUCGCAUGAUUGAGAAAGGAAAGACGGCCUUUGUGCUGUCGCUUAUGGAUGGACCCGCGGCGUAUUAGUUAGUUGGUGAGGUAAUGGCUCACCAAGACGAUGAUACGUAGCCGACCUGAGAGGGUGAUCGGCCACAUUGGGACUGAGACACGGCCCAAACUCCUACGGGAGGCAGCAGUAGGGAAUCUUCCGCAAUGGACGAAAGUCUGACGGAGCAACGCCGCGUGAGUGAAGAAAGGUUUUCGGAUCGUAAAACUCUGUUGUCAGAGAAGAACAAGUUGGAGAGUAACUGCUCCAGCCUUGACGGUAUCUGACCAGAAAGCCACGGCUAACUACGUGCCAGCCGCCGC